UGCAGAGGGGGCAAGCGUUGUUCGGAAUUACUGGGCGUAAAGGGCGCGUAGGCGGCCCGCUAAGUCGAACGUGAAAUCCCCGAGCUCAACUCGGGAACUGCGUCCGAUACUGGCGGGCUUGAAUCCGGGAGAGGGAUGCGGAAUUCCAGGUGUAGCGGUGAAAUGCGUAGAUAUCUGGAGGAACACCGGUGGCGAAGGCGGCAUCCUGGACCGGCAUUGACGCUGAGGCGCGAAAGCUAGGGGAGCAAACGGG
Molecule: ribosomal RNA, 253 nt
Filed under: uncultured bacterium
Lineage: Bacteria
Description: partial 16S ribosomal RNA
Rfam family: Bacterial small subunit ribosomal RNA
Source: RNAcentral